CACUGGAAGAUUAAUGAUUUUCAGCAAUGCCUGCCCAGUGCGAUCAAAAGUCGUAAACGGCCGCCCUAGCGUGAGGGUGCUAAGGUAGCGAAAUUCCUUGCCUUUUAAUUGUAGGCCUGCAUGAAUGGUUUGACGAGGGCUUAACUGUCUCUAGUUUGUAAGUCUAAAUUGGAUUAAAGGUGAAGAUACCUUUAUAAAAAAGUCAGACAAGAAGACCCCGUGCAACUUUUAAAGUCAACUUGUUUAGGAGUUUCAGAUUUUUAGGUGGGGCGCCUAUUAAGUAAUAUUAACCUUAGUGUACGAUAAAACUUUCAAGUAUAGACCCGACAAUGUCGAUCAUAGGAGAAGUUACGCCGGGGAUAACAGGCUAAUCCACUAGUAGAGAACGUAUUGGCUAGUGGGAUUGGCACCUCGAUGUUGAAUCAGGGAUGAUACCUCUAAGGCGUAGAAGCUUUGGAAGUGGGUCUGUUCGACCUUUAAUACCCU
Molecule: ribosomal RNA, 486 nt
Filed under: Ostrea edulis (European flat oyster)
Lineage: Eukaryota; Metazoa; Mollusca; Bivalvia; Ostreida; Ostreidae
Description: partial 16S ribosomal RNA
Rfam family: Bacterial large subunit ribosomal RNA
Source: RNAcentral